Molecule: ribosomal RNA, 551 nt
Filed under: uncultured fungus
Lineage: Eukaryota; Fungi
Description: eukaryotic LSU rRNA
Rfam family: 5.8S ribosomal RNA (bases 192-345)
Source: RNAcentral
UCGUAACAAGGUCUCCGUUGGUGAACCAGCGGAGGGAUCAUUACCGAGUUUACAACUCCCAAACCCCUGUGAACAUACCACUUGUUGCCUCGGCGGAUCAGCCCGCUCCCGGUAAAACGGGACGGCCCGCCAGAGGACCCCUAAACUCUGUUUCUAUAUGUAACUUCUGAGUAAAACCAUAAAUAAAUCAAAACUUUCAACAACGGAUCUCUUGGUUCUGGCAUCGAUGAAGAACGCAGCAAAAUGCGAUAAGUAAUGUGAAUUGCAGAAUUCAGUGAAUCAUCGAAUCUUUGAACGCACGUUGCGCCCGCCAGUAUUCUGGCGGGCAUGCCUGUUCGAGCGUCAUUUCAACCCUCAAGCACAGCUUGGUGUUGGGACUCGCGUUAAUUCGCGUUCCCCAAAUUGAUUGGCGGUCACGUCGAGCUUCCAUAGCGUAGUAGUAAAACCCUCGUUACUGGUAAUCGUCGCGGCCACGCCGUUAAACCCCAACUUCUGAAUGUUGACCUCGGACCAGGUAGGAAUACCCGCUGAACUUAAGCAUAUCAAUAUCG